CACGUAGGCACCAAGCGUUGUCCGGAUUUAUUGGGCGUAAAGAGCUCGUAGGCGGUUCGGUAAGUCGGGUGUGAAAACUUUGGGCUCAACCCAAAGCCUGCACUCGAUACUGCUGUGACUUGAGUCCGGUAGGGGAGUGGGGAAUUCCUGGUGUAGCGGUGGAAUGCGCAGAUAUCAGGAGGGACACCGGUGGCGAAGGCGCCACUCUGGGCCGGUACUGACGCUGAGGAGCGAAAGCGUGGGGAGCGAACAGG
RNAcentral lists this ribosomal RNA (254 nucleotides) under uncultured bacterium. Its description in RNAcentral is "partial 16S ribosomal RNA". It matches the Rfam family "Bacterial small subunit ribosomal RNA", at positions 524 to 776 of the family's 1533-position model. The record is from RNAcentral.